Molecule: unclassified non-coding RNA, 2003 nt
Filed under: Hevea brasiliensis (rubber tree)
Lineage: Eukaryota; Viridiplantae; Streptophyta; Magnoliopsida; Malpighiales; Euphorbiaceae
Source: RNAcentral
AAAAACUACAAAUUGCAGGCUUUGGCGAAAUCAACGGUUACAUUUCACUAAUUAAAAACGUCCCAUUCCAAUUUUAUUUCCACUGCACAUGAAUGUGAUACAAAUAUAAAAAGCAAGGAAGCCACUAGGCCUCACGUUUCCACAGCUUCCACAUCAAUUUCCAGCCAUUAUUACACAGAUUACUUUACCUGCGACAUUCACAUUUUUAUUUGACAAUUCCACAACUGCCUUAGAAACUUGCUCUUUUCAACGACGUAAUCGUGAUGGAAGACCCCAACGCCGAUGACCCAACUUCGAUUUCAAACGAGUCGUAUCGUCGAAACAAUUCAACGACGAACAGUCUAGAUAUAAAUACCACGAAAUCUUUGCCCGCACACUGUUUGUUUCCCACCGUUGGAUGCUCAGUCUCUGGUCCAUUUGACCACAGCACGUGUUUCAACAACUUUUCUCCCUCGCCUACGAACCGAUCUGGAACGUACUCUUCGGGUCUGUCGAAUAUUUUCGGAUCUUUCGUCGCGAAAGGUUGGUACCCGAAUAUCAUCUGGCCUUCUUUUACUUCAAACGCUGCGUCGUGACUUUCAAUGAUCAAGUCACGCUUUGCUCUCCCGUACUGCGCUGGUACUGGAGGUUCGAUACGGAAUGCUUCAUAGACCGCGGAUUUCAUCAGUGGCAUCUGUUCUAGAGCAGCCAUCGUGAUCUGCCCACCAUUGGAUUUUAUGACUGAUCUAAUCUCUUGUGCCAGCUGGGUAUGGAGUUUGACUCCUGCACGGCCGAUCCACUUGAGUACGUUUGGGAAGAAGAUCUUAAGGCCACCGAAGGUAUUAAAGCACGUAGCGAAAAGGAUAUUGUGGCAGGCUUCUUCUCGCGUGAGCCCCAUUCUCUCAGCCUCAUCGAGGACGGAUCCGCCGGAGGAGUAGAAGUAAUCGUAGAGUCGCUGGUAAUCUUUCUUGAUGAUAAACGCAGGGAGACGAAAGGUGUGGAUUGUGGGUUCUUCAAUAAAUGCCGGAAGGCCAAGUGUGAGAAUAGGAGCGAGUUGAAACAGUACCCAUUUAGCUAUCAGAGUAGGUCCAUCAGUCCCCACUUUAGUGUCGACGGGGUUUACGCCAAAGUAACACCGACCCAAGAAGCUAAAGGCAGCUUGUUCGCCGGGAUCAUUGAAACUGACUUUGCCCUUGGACGCGAGAUCCUUCUCCAGACUCUCAAACAGUUGGCUAUAAGUCGAACUGAACUCAGGGAUUACGUAAUCGCGGCGAGAUUUCAAAAGAUAGAACAAGAGUUGCUUGAGUUGGCCGUGUUUCGUCUCAGAAGGGUCAAGAUAUGAGAGAAUACGGUAGCCGCCGGUUAGGUCUGUGGAGGGCAUGUAAGUACCAGUAAAAAGGUCUUUCUUUUCGACUUUGGUUACAUCGAAAAGAACAGAAAAGCUCUUCCCAUCAAGCACGACGACCACGCGUGGAUCAGGAGAGAUGAAAGGACCAGGUGGCAUGUUGGCUUUGUACACCGUUGACCGGUACUUUUGAGCUCUGGAUUUGAAGUACUCCUCUUUGCCUUGCUUGUAGAAAUAAUCAAGUCGAUCUUUGAUGGGGCCAAUCAAAGGGAGACCAUAAUCACCGGGAAUUUUGCGAAGGGGAAGUUUGGAAGAUUCAGUUGGCGAAACAGUCUCCGGUAAGUUAGAAAUGGUUGGUUUUUCAGACACAGAAGCUGUGAUUGGGUUGAAAAAGGAUCGUCGAGUGGAGGGCUUAGAUGAUUUUCUCAAGGACUUGAAUUGCGAUUGGAGGCAAGGAGAAGAAAAGGCUGAGGAAGCCAUGUUGGUCGUGAAAUAGUAGCCUUAAGAUCCUAUGUUGCUCGAAGAUUUUUAAGGCACUUGGCAGAGUUGUUAUAAGGAGAAAAUGUAGAAAAUCGGAGACUCUGGUAUACAAGCGGACGGUCAGGGUCUAUGUUAUUUAUAGUGGUGGGGGGCACAGCCCUUAGAAAAGCAUGUUAUUGUCUGGUGAAAGAUCGUGAAA